UUGACAACCUUAGAAACUGAAGUCCUAUAUUGUUCCACAAAACAGGUACAGCCUGGGCACAGCUACUGAGCUUCCUCACCAAAGCACCUCACUCAUGCCCUAGUCACACCCCCAUCCCCCUUCUGAGGAGAGGGGAAGUCAGUUUCCAUGGUGUAGACAGUCCUCGGGUUCU
Chelonoidis abingdonii (Abingdon island giant tortoise) is the source of this 172-nucleotide unclassified non-coding RNA. The record is from Ensembl. Lineage: Eukaryota; Metazoa; Chordata; Testudines; Testudinidae.